RNAcentral lists this ribosomal RNA (195 nucleotides) under uncultured Staphylococcus sp. Its description in RNAcentral is "partial 16S ribosomal RNA". It matches the Rfam family "Bacterial small subunit ribosomal RNA", at positions 145 to 334 of the family's 1533-position model. Lineage: Bacteria; Bacillati; Bacillota; Bacilli; Caryophanales; Staphylococcaceae. The record is from RNAcentral.
AACUUCGGGAAACCGGAGCUAAUACCGGAUAAUAUAUUGAACCGCAUGGUUCAAUAGUGAAAGACGGUUUUGCUGUCACUUAUAGAUGGAUCCGCGCCGCAUUAGCUAGUUGGUAAGGUAACGGCUUACCAAGGCAACGAUGCGUAGCCGACCUGAGAGGGUGAUCGGCCACACUGGAACUGAGACACGGUCCAG